RNAcentral lists this transfer RNA (73 nucleotides) under Calidifontibacillus erzurumensis. It matches the Rfam family "tRNA". Rfam says of the family: Transfer RNA (tRNA) molecules are approximately 80 nucleotides in length. Their secondary structure includes four short double-helical elements and three loops (D, anti-codon, and T loops). The record is from Rfam by way of RNAcentral. Lineage: Bacteria; Bacillati; Bacillota; Bacilli; Caryophanales; Bacillaceae.
GGGGGCAUAGCUCAGUUGGGAGAGCGCUUGCAUGGCAUGCAAGAGGUCGUCGGUUCGAGCCCGAUUGUCUCCA